GCGGACGUGGUGCACGGUGCACCGCUACCUUUAAUUCGGAUAGUAAGGUGCAAAGUGUAAGCAGCUCCCGGGUUCGACUCCCUGCGUCCGCA
This is a non-coding RNA of Mycena leptocephala, 92 nucleotides long. NCBI's taxonomy places the organism in Eukaryota, Fungi, Basidiomycota, Agaricomycetes, Agaricales, Mycenaceae. The record is from the annotation of a GenBank genome assembly.